UCCCUGGUGGUCCAGAGGUUAAGAAUCUGCUUUACAAGGCAGGGGACACAGGUUCGAUUCCUGGUCGGGGAA
This is a transfer RNA of Ovis aries (sheep), 72 nucleotides long. It matches the Rfam family "tRNA". From Rfam's summary of the family: Transfer RNA (tRNA) molecules are approximately 80 nucleotides in length. Their secondary structure includes four short double-helical elements and three loops (D, anti-codon, and T loops). Lineage: Eukaryota; Metazoa; Chordata; Mammalia; Artiodactyla; Bovidae. The record is from Rfam.